GAAGAAAUGAGAAAUGUAGUUCUUCUUUUGAAUCCCUUGAAAAACUACAGUGACAUAGGGUUUACGUUGCACUUCCUAAGGCUUGGCUGUCAACAAUCUUUAGAAACUGGUUUCAUCCAUCUCCUGUUACCGGGCAGAAAAUUGUGGCUCAGUCAAUCAGUGGCCAGUCUGAGGACAGGUGUCUCGUGUGCUCGCUGUUCGUUCUUUUUCUUCUGGGAUGAAUACCGGUUGGAAAAUUAGCGCAAUUUUACGUAAAAAAAUACCCUAAAGAUUGAUUGUAAACAUCGUUUGACAUGUUUCUACAAACGGUAAUGGAACUUUUGAACUUUUCGUCUAUGGAUUUGCGCCCACGCCUCAUGGCAUUGUAAUAGUGUUCUGGAUGGGCCAACAAAACGGAGGUAUUUGGACAUAAAUGAUGGACUUUGCAGAACAAAUGAACAUUUCUUGUGGAAGUGGGAGUCCUUCCGAGUGCAUUCCGCCGAAGAUCAGCAAAGGACCUGAGCCCUAGGACCAUGCCUCAGGACUACCUGGUAUGAUGACUCCUUGCUGUCCCCAGUCCACCUGGCCGUGCUGCUGCUCCAGUUUCAACUGUUCUGCCUGCGGCUAUGGAACCCUGACCUGUUCACCGGACGUGCUUGUUGCACCCUCGACAACUACUAUGAUUAUUAUUAUUUGACCAUGCUGGUCAUUUAUGAACAUUUUAACAUCUUGACCAUGUUCUGUUAUAAUAUCCACCCGGCACAGCCAGAAGAGGACUGGCCACCCUUCAUAGCCUGGUUCCUCUCUAGGUUUCUUCCUAGGUUUUUGGCCUUUCUAGGGAGUUUUUCCUAGGGAGUUUUUCCUAGCCACUGUGCUUCUUUCACAUGCAUUGCUUGCUGUUUGGGGUUUUAGGCUGGGUUUCUGUACAGCACUUUGAGAUAUCAGCUGAUGUACGAAGGGCUAUAUAAAUAAAUUUGAUUUGAUUUGAUAGCCUUGCUACUGUUAUUUUAUUGUUGCUCUUUAAUUAUUUGCUAUUUUCCUUCUUUCUUUUUUUACUUCAGUUUGUUUUAGUAAGUAAUUUCUUUAACAGUUAUUUUUCUUAAAACUGCAUUGUUGGUUAAGGGCUUGUAAGUAACCAUUUCACUGUAAGGUUUACACCUGUUGUUUUCGGCGCAUUUGACAAAAAAAUUAGGAUUUGAUAUUUUUCUUUCCAAAUCAUGUCCAAUCAAUUGAAUUUACCACAGGUUGACUC
RNAcentral lists this long non-coding RNA (1231 nucleotides) under Salmo salar (Atlantic salmon). RNAcentral's name for it is "lncRNA (ENSSSAG00000112823.1)". Lineage: Eukaryota; Metazoa; Chordata; Actinopteri; Salmoniformes; Salmonidae. The record is from RNAcentral.